Molecule: ribosomal RNA, 369 nt
Filed under: uncultured eukaryote
Lineage: Eukaryota
Description: partial 18S ribosomal RNA
Rfam family: Eukaryotic small subunit ribosomal RNA
Source: RNAcentral
CAAUAGCGUAUAUUAAAGUUGUUGCAGUUAAAAAGCUCGUAGUUGGACCUUGGACCUGGACAGGCGGUCCGCCUCACGGCGAGUACUGUCUUGCUGGGUCUUUCCUCUUGGUGAUCUGUUGUUUCGGCAGCAGGGAACCAGGACCUUUACUUUGAAAAAAUUAGAGUGUUCAAAGCAGGCUCGACGCCGGAAUAUAUUAGCAUGGAAUAAUAAAAUAGGACGUGCGGUUCUAUUUUGUUGGUUUUUGGAAUCGCCGUAAUGAUUAAUAGGGACAGUCGGGGGCAUUAGUACUCACAUGCUAGAGGUGAAAUUCUUGGAUUUUGUGAAGACUAACUUCUGCGAANGNAUUUGGNAAGGAUGUUUNCAUUA